RNAcentral lists this microRNA (21 nucleotides) under Anolis carolinensis (green anole). Its description in RNAcentral is "aca-miR-24-2-5p". Its record names the gene aca-miR-24-2-5p. The record is from miRBase by way of RNAcentral. RNAcentral also lists the same sequence under 1 other name. Lineage: Eukaryota; Metazoa; Chordata; Lepidosauria; Squamata; Anolidae.
UGCCUACUGAGCUGAUAUCAG